UAUGCCUAGCCGUAAACCUUGAUAGAAAUAUACAAUUGAUAUCCGCCAGGGAACUACAAGCGCCAGCUUAAAACCCAAAGGACUUGGCGGUGCCUCAGACCCACCUAGAGGAGCCUGUUCUAGAACCGAUAACCCCCGUUCAACCUCACCACCUCUUGUUUUACCCGCCUAUAUACCACCGUCGUCAGCUUACCCUGUGAAGGCCCUAUAGUAAGCAAAAUGGGCAAAACCCAAAACGUCAGGUCGAGGUGUAGCGCAUGGGGUGGGAAGAAAUGGGCUACAUUCUCUAAAUUAGAGCAUUACGAACCACGCUGUGAAAUCAGCGUCCGAAGGUGGAUUUAGCAGUAAACAGAAAACAGAGAGUUCUCUUGAAACUGGCUCUGAGGCGCGCACACACCGCCCGUCACUCUCCCCAAGUUCAACCUAUCCUUCUAAUUAAGAAGCCAACCGAACAAAGGGGAGGCAAGUCGUAACAUGGUAAGUGU
RNAcentral lists this ribosomal RNA (485 nucleotides) under Oncorhynchus keta (chum salmon). Its description in RNAcentral is "partial 12S ribosomal RNA". It matches the Rfam family "Bacterial small subunit ribosomal RNA", at positions 791 to 1503 of the family's 1533-position model. Lineage: Eukaryota; Metazoa; Chordata; Actinopteri; Salmoniformes; Salmonidae. The record is from RNAcentral.